RNAcentral lists this ribosomal RNA (460 nucleotides) under uncultured bacterium. RNAcentral's name for it is "partial 16S ribosomal RNA". It matches the Rfam family "Bacterial small subunit ribosomal RNA", at positions 338 to 795 of the family's 1533-position model. The record is from RNAcentral.
CCUACGGGUGGCAGCAGUGAGGAAUAUUGGUCAAUGGUCGCAAGUCUGAACCAGCCAUGCCGCGUGCAGGAAGACGGCUCUAUGAGUUGUAAACUGCUUUUGUACGAGGGUAAACGCAGAUACGCGUAUCUUUCUGAAAGUAUCGUACGAAUAAGGAUCGGCUAACUCCGUGCCAGCAGCCGCGGUAAUACGGAGGAUUCAAGCGUUAUCCGGAUUUAUUGGGUUUAAAGGGUGCGUAGGCGGUCGGAUAAGUUAGAGGUGAAAUCCCGAGGCUCAACGUCGGAAUUGCCGCUGAUACUGUUCGGCUAGAGAGUAGUUGCGGUAGGCGGAAUGUAUGGUGUAGCGGUGAAAUGCUUAGAGAUCAUACAGAACACCGAUUGCGAAGGCAGCUUACCAGGCUACUACUGACGUUGAGGCACGAAAGCGUGGGGAGCAAACAGGAUUAGAUACCCCUGUAGUC